This is a long non-coding RNA of Cynoglossus semilaevis (tongue sole), 266 nucleotides long. RefSeq lists it as uncharacterized. The transcript has 3 exons. NCBI's taxonomy places the organism in Eukaryota, Metazoa, Chordata, Actinopteri, Pleuronectiformes, Cynoglossidae. The record is from RefSeq and is a predicted model, not a curated record.
CUCAUCUUGGUGGUCUGGUGCCACUCUCUGGCCAGACCGAAGUCCGUGAUCUUCAAGGUUUUCCCACCAACAUUGUCUCGUCCCAGCGGCUCCAGGAUCAGAACUGAGGGAAAGACGUUAAAGUGGAUUAAUGUCGGUACCAAGUCCAACUUCCUCCUUCAUUUCCGUGUGAGAAAAUCUUGUGCAUCUUCACACCGCCAUUACAUGUCAGACGAGGAACAAGUGCAGGCUGACUGUCACGUCAGUGGACAAGACAGUGUUCUGAG